CAAGGGCUGGUGCUACACAUGCAAGUCGAACGCUGAAGCCCUCAGCUUGCUGGGGGUGGAUGAGUGGCGAACGGGUGAGUAACACGUGAGUAACCUGCCCCUGAUUUCGGGAUAAGCCCGGGAAACUGGGUCUAAUACCGGAUAUGACCACUGGCCGCAUGGUUGGUGGUGGAAAGUUUUUUCGAUUGGGGAUGGGCUCGCGGCCUAUCAGUUUGUUGGUGGGGUAAUGGCCUACCAAGGCGACGACGGGUAGCCGGCCUGAGAGGGCGACCGGCCACACUGGGACUGAGACACGGCCCAGACUCCUACGGGAGGCAGCAGUGGGGAAUAUUGCACAAUGGGGGAAACCCUGAUGCAGCGACGCACCGUGCGGGAUGACGGCCUUCGGGUUGUAAACCGCUUUCAGCAGGGAAGAAGCCGUAAGGUGACGGUACCUGCAGAAGAAGUACCGGCUAACUACGUGCCAGCAGCCGCGGUAAUACGUAGGGUACGAGCGUUGUCCGGAAUUAUUGGGCGUAAAGAGCUCGUAGGUGGUUGGUCACGUCUGCUGUGGAAACGCAACGCUUAACGUUGCGCGGGCAGUGGGUACGGGCUGACUAGAGUGCAGUAGGGGAGUCUGGAAUUCCUGGUGUAGCGGUGAAAUGCGCACAUAUCAGGAGGAACACCGGUGGCGAAGGCGGGACUCUGGGCUGUGACUGACACUGAGGAGCGAAAGCAUGGGGAGCGAACAGGAUUAGAUACCCUGGUAGUCCAUGCCGUAAACGUUGGGCACUAUGUGUGGGGGACAUUCUACGUGUUCU
RNAcentral lists this ribosomal RNA (800 nucleotides) under Bacillus cereus. RNAcentral's name for it is "bacterial SSU rRNA". It matches the Rfam family "Bacterial small subunit ribosomal RNA", at positions 30 to 840 of the family's 1533-position model. Lineage: Bacteria; Bacillati; Bacillota; Bacilli; Caryophanales; Bacillaceae. The record is from RNAcentral.